Molecule: non-coding RNA, 739 nt
Organism: Vicugna pacos (alpaca)
Lineage: Eukaryota; Metazoa; Chordata; Mammalia; Artiodactyla; Camelidae
Source: RefSeq, a predicted model, not a curated record
CCAGGACCCAACCCAGUGCCUGGAGCAGAGUGGGCACUCAACCAUCUUUCCAUAAAGAUGACAUGAGAGCACAGGGGAAGGAUUUGUCCACGGUGCUGAAUAUCUUUUCUGCGGCCACAAAAGUCAGCUGAAGCACAACUGGAAGACAGACAAUGCAAAUCCGUUUUCAAGAAUUACUGUGCUUUCAUGAUUCACUAAGGAUGAGUCCUGAUCCCCAGUGUGAAAGCCGUUGCUGUAAUGUGCUUUCCUGUCCAACAGAGGCUGGAAAGUGAAAGACUGCGUUUUCCCACCUGCUUCAGCUAAAGCUCCAGUUGUUUUCGGCUCUGCAAACCCAAUGCCCUCACAUUGCUUUUGCUACUUCUGCUGGCAGGAUGAUCUGUUGGUUUGAGUAGGCAAGAGACAAGUGGCCUGAAUCUAAAUGACCAUCCAAUGAAGGAAAAGUCACAACACAAAGGUUUCCACAUCUCCAGUCCUCAAAGAGAGAGACUGUUUGUGGGGUGGGAGGGCACGAAUGCUGUCAGGAUUAAAUGUCAAUGCUUGAAAUCUUUUCAAUCAAAAGGUGCCAUGGUGGCUUCAAAUAAUACACUUGGUUUACAAGUUCAACUUUUUGUUUUGAAAGAAACACAGCCUCUGCAGGAAAACAUUUCCAAAAGCUUUUCACUUUUUCCUGGGGCUUCAUAAUACUUAGAAGAUUUUUCAGCUGAUUAGAUUUUCCCAAAUAAAUGGGCAUGAUACUCAA